GUUUGAAAUUUUUUGAAAAACGUAUUCGCUCACCUGUUUCACACUUCAUCUUAAAGAAGAGUUAUAGUCAUAAAAGUGGAACUUUUCGUAUUUGACGGGAUUCAUUUUGAAAGAAAAUCGUAUAUUUUUGUUACUACAGAGACGUACAAAAAGUAUUUGGUCACAAUGGCGUCGUGUUAACGUUUCAAAACAAAAGUUGCAAAGUUCAUGCUUGCACUGUAAAUAAAUCAACCAAUGAUAUACAACAACAAAAAAAACUCCCUCCAAUACUUUGUUAAGUGUCGUUUUAGCCUGAUUACAUUUAAUAUCCUUUUCAAAAUCGACUCGUAUAAACACUGAAUAAAGGCAGGGGUAAUACUGACCCAAAUACGGGGGAUUUCUUGGAACAAUUCAUUU
Molecule: long non-coding RNA, 396 nt
Filed under: Mytilus galloprovincialis (Mediterranean mussel)
Lineage: Eukaryota; Metazoa; Mollusca; Bivalvia; Mytilida; Mytilidae
Source: RNAcentral